RNAcentral lists this small RNA (122 nucleotides) under Yersinia enterocolitica (type O:5) str. YE53/03. It matches the Rfam family "t44 RNA". From Rfam's summary of the family: This family consists of a number of bacterial RNA genes of between 135 and 170 bases in length. The t44 gene is found between the map and rpsB genes in all species in the full alignment apart from Shigella flexneri. The record is from RNAcentral. Lineage: Bacteria; Pseudomonadati; Pseudomonadota; Gammaproteobacteria; Enterobacterales; Yersiniaceae.
AAUCGCACUCAUAUGUGUAAAUAACACACACGUGUCGACACAUACGCCGGGGUGCCCUAAAGUUUUUGAUUAUCAUCAAUCGCUUAUGGGGUCGGCGUUAUGGGACACGUGGAGGCAUAACC